Molecule: ribosomal RNA, 257 nt
Filed under: uncultured prokaryote
Description: partial 16S ribosomal RNA
Rfam family: Bacterial small subunit ribosomal RNA
Source: RNAcentral
UACGUAGGUGGCGAGCGUUGUCCGGAAUCAUUGGGCGUAAAGAGCGCGUAGGCGGCUUGUCAGGUCUGAUGUGAAAUGCCGGGGCUCAACUCCGGACGUGCAUCAGAAACCGGCUUGCUAGAGUCUGGGAGAGGGAAGUGGAAUUCCUGGUGUAGCGGUGAAAUGCGCAGAUAUCAGGAGGAACACCGGUAGCGAAGGCUGCUUCCUGGAACAGUACUGACGCUAAGGCGCGAAAGCUAGGGUAGCAAACAGGAUUA